Molecule: ribosomal RNA, 420 nt
Filed under: bacterium
Lineage: Bacteria
Description: partial 16S ribosomal RNA
Rfam family: Bacterial small subunit ribosomal RNA
Source: RNAcentral
UGGGGGAUAUUGCACAAUGGGCGAAAGCCUGAUGCAGCGACGCCGCGUGGGGGAUGAAGGCUUUCGGGUUGUAAACCUCUUUCGCUAUCGAACAAGGCCCGCUUAGGGUGGGUUGAGGGUAGGUGGAGAAGAAGCGCCGGCUAACUACGUGCCAGCAGCCGCGGUAAUACGUAGGGCGCGAGCGUUGUCCGGAAUUAUUGGGCGUAAAGGGCCUGUAGGCGGCUUGUUGCGCCUGCUGUGAAAACGCGGGGCUUCACUUCGCGCGUGCAGUGGGUACGGGCAGGCUUGAGUGUGGUAGGGGUGACUGGAAUUCCAGGUGUAGCGGUGGAAUGCGCAGAUAUCUGGAGGAACACCGAUGGCGAAGGCAGGUCACUGGGCCAUUACUGACGCUGAGGAGCGAAAGCAUGGGUAGCGAACAGG